AGGGAUUUAGCUAAGUGGCAUAAGCGCCUGCCUGGAAUGCAGGUGGUCAGAAGUUUGAUCCAAAAAACAAUUCCCUU
Molecule: non-coding RNA, 77 nt
Organism: Cavia porcellus (domestic guinea pig)
Lineage: Eukaryota; Metazoa; Chordata; Mammalia; Rodentia; Caviidae
Source: Rfam